This 79-nucleotide microRNA precursor is filed under the name Mus caroli (Ryukyu mouse). RNAcentral's name for it is "miRNA (MGP_CAROLIEiJ_G0007514.1)". The record is from RNAcentral. Lineage: Eukaryota; Metazoa; Chordata; Mammalia; Rodentia; Muridae.
CAGGACCAGCGCAGACUGGCGCACCCCAGGGAUCUCUGGGCGAGAUCUCAAGCAUGACUAGGAGGUCUCUGUGCCUUCC